This 245-nucleotide long non-coding RNA is filed under the name Elaeis guineensis (African oil palm). Its description in RNAcentral is "long non-coding RNA (EGUI_LNC029139)". The record is from RNAcentral. Lineage: Eukaryota; Viridiplantae; Streptophyta; Magnoliopsida; Arecales; Arecaceae.
GUGGUCUGCUGUCAUCGAUGAUCGUGAAGCGCUCUACUCUCCAUGAGUCACUGAAGGUGCGCCACACCGUGAUGAGCGUUGAGCAGAGCUUGCGGAGAUAUUUUGUGCUCUCAUUUUGGCCAUGGAGGUUUUUAAAAGAAAUUUUUUUUUGCUCAAUUGCCCCCUUCCUGGCAUGCCAAACUAUUGUGGGCUUUCUCUAGUUGAGGUAGUCGGCCUGGAGCCGACUAGGUGCUGCGCCUGGAUGC